RNAcentral lists this ribosomal RNA (253 nucleotides) under uncultured bacterium. Its description in RNAcentral is "partial 16S ribosomal RNA". It matches the Rfam family "Bacterial small subunit ribosomal RNA", at positions 524 to 776 of the family's 1533-position model. The record is from RNAcentral.
UACGGGGGGUGCGAGCGUUGUCCGGAAUCACUGGGCGUAAAGGGCGCGUAGGUGGCUUUGUAAGUUUGCGGUGAAAGCCCGGGGCUCAACCCCGGGUCUGCCGUGGAUACUGCAAGGCUUGAGUACUGUAGAGGCAGGUAGAAUAUCGGGUGUAGCGGUGGAAUGCGUAGAGAUCCGAUAGAAGACCGGUGGCGAAGGCGGCCUGCCGGGCAGUAACUGACACUGAGGCGCGACAGCGUGGGGAGCAAACAGG